This 135-nucleotide small nucleolar RNA is filed under the name Cynoglossus semilaevis (tongue sole). RNAcentral's name for it is "Small nucleolar RNA SNORD94 (ENSCSEG00000005999.1)". The record is from RNAcentral. Lineage: Eukaryota; Metazoa; Chordata; Actinopteri; Pleuronectiformes; Cynoglossidae.
UGUGUGGUGAUGAGAAGCGCAGGGGUACCGAUGUCAGCUGAUGAUGAGAGCUGAGUUCUGCUGAGAGUCUGAUCAGAGGACCAGUGGUCCACUGAUGGAUGUCAGCAGGACUAGAGCCACGCCCAUCUGAACACA